GACGAACGCUGGCGGCGUGCUUAACACAUGCAAGUCGAACGGAAAGGCCUCUUUCGGGGGGUACUCGAGUGGCGAACGGGUGAGUAACACGUGAGUAACCUGCCCUUGACUUUGGGAUAACUUCAGGAAACUGGGGCUAAUACCGGAUAGGAGCUCCUGCUGCAUGGUGGGGGUGGGAAAGUUUCGGCGGUUGGGGAUGGACUCGCGGCUUAUCAGCUUGUUGGUGGGGUAGUGGCUUACCAAGGCCUUGACGGGUAGCCGGCCUGAGAGGGUGACCGGCCACAUUGGGACUGAGAUACGGCCCAGACUCCUACGGGAGGCAGCAGUGGGGAAUAUUGCACAAUGGGUGGAAGCCUGAUGCAGCAACGCCGUGUGCGGGAUGACGGCCUUCGGGUUGUAAACCGCUUUCGCUCAUGACGAAGCUUUGUGUGACGGUAGUGGGUAAAGAAGCACCGGCUAACUACGUG
Molecule: ribosomal RNA, 467 nt
Filed under: uncultured bacterium
Lineage: Bacteria
Description: partial 16S ribosomal RNA
Rfam family: Bacterial small subunit ribosomal RNA
Source: RNAcentral